GGUCAAGCAAUAAGGGCACAGGCGGAUGCCUUGGCACUAAGAGCCGAUGAAAGACGUGAUAAGCUGCGAUAAGCUCGGGGAGGAGCAAAUAUCCAUUGAUCCGGAGAUGUCUGAAUGGGGAAACCCACAUGAGCAAACCUCAUGUAUCC
This 149-nucleotide ribosomal RNA is filed under the name Ruminococcus sp. TF06-23. RNAcentral's name for it is "partial 23S ribosomal RNA". It matches the Rfam family "Bacterial large subunit ribosomal RNA", at positions 1 to 153 of the family's 2925-position model. The record is from RNAcentral. Lineage: Bacteria; Bacillati; Bacillota; Clostridia; Eubacteriales; Oscillospiraceae.